GCUUCGGUGGCCUAGUGGUCAAAGCGUUGGCCUCAGAUGCGGGGGUGGGGUGGGGUGUCACGGGUUCAAAUCCAGAUCGAGUCA
Molecule: non-coding RNA, 84 nt
Organism: Potamilus streckersoni
Lineage: Eukaryota; Metazoa; Mollusca; Bivalvia; Unionida; Unionidae
Source: the annotation of a GenBank genome assembly